This 459-nucleotide ribosomal RNA is filed under the name Triticum aestivum (bread wheat). Its description in RNAcentral is "partial small subunit ribosomal RNA". The record is from RNAcentral. Lineage: Eukaryota; Viridiplantae; Streptophyta; Magnoliopsida; Poales; Poaceae.
UGCAAGGCUCUUCCUGCCGAGACGAAUCGUACGUGCCUGCCGCCGCGCCGGCGAACCAUGUCGUCGUCCGCGUUGAGGGCCGCGGGGCAGAGGGCGGGGGCCGCGGCCCGUAAGCAGGCGCUCACCCUGACGGAGGCCGCGGCGGCCAGGGUGCGCCACCUCCUCGACCUCAGGCAGCGGCCCUACCUGCGCCUUGGCGUCAAGGCGCGCGGCUGCAACGGCCUGUCCUACACGCUCAAUUACGCCGAAGAAAAAGGGAAGUUCGAUGAGCUUGUUGAAGAGAAGGGUGUGAAAGUGCUGAUUGACCCCAAGGCCCUGAUGCAUGUGAUCGGCACCAAGAUGGACUUCGUCGACGAUCCACUGAGGUCAGAGUUUGUGUUCAUAAACCCGAACUCGAAAGGGGAGUGUGGAUGCGGUGAAUCUUUCAUGACUACGGGCAGCAAAGGAUCUACGUCAUGA